RNAcentral lists this ribosomal RNA (450 nucleotides) under rhizosphere bacterium GWR03. Its description in RNAcentral is "bacterial SSU rRNA". It matches the Rfam family "Bacterial small subunit ribosomal RNA", at positions 1077 to 1533 of the family's 1533-position model. The record is from RNAcentral.
GGGUUAAGUCCCGCAACGAGCGCAACCCUUGUCCUUAGUUGCUACGCAAGAGCACUCUAAGGAGACUGCCGGCGACAAACCGGAGGAAGGUGGGGAUGACGUCAAGUCCUCAUGGCCCUUAUGGGUAGGGCUUCACACGUCAUACAAUGGUCGGAACAGAGGGUUGCCAACCCGCGAGGGGGAGCUAAUCCCAGAAAACCGAUCGUAGUCCGGAUUGCACUCUGCAACUCGAGUGCAUGAAGCUGGAAUCGCUAGUAAUCGCGGAUCAGCAUGCCGCGGUGAAUACGUUCCCGGGUCUUGUACACACCGCCCGUCACACCAUGGGAGUGGGUUUUACCAGAAGUGGCUAGUCUAACCGCAAGGAGGACGGUCACCACGGUAGGAUUCAUGACUGGGGUGAAGUCGUAACAAGGUAGCCGUAUCGGAAGGUGCGGCUGGAUCACCUCCUUU